CCUACGGGGGGCUGCAGUGGGGAAUCUUCGGCAAUGGACGGAAGUCUGACCGAGCGACGCCGCGUGUAUGAUGAAGGUCUUCGGAUUGUAAAAUACUGUCGAUAGGGCGGAAAUUUAGGAGGGCUAUCCCUCUUAUUUGACCUAUCUUUUGAGGAAGGACGGGCUAAGUUCGUGCCAGCAGCCGCGGUAAGACGAACUGUUCUAACGUUAUUCGGAAUCACUGGGCUUAAAGGGCGCGUAGGCUGUUUGUUAAGCGGGGUCUGAAAUCCCUCGGCUCAACCGAGGAACUGGGCUUCGAACUGGCAGACUAGAGUGAAGUAGGGGUAAGCGGAACUUGCGGUGGAGCGGUGAAAUGCUUUGAUAUCGCAAGGAACACCGGCGGCGAAGGCGGCUUACUGGGCUUCAACUGACGCUUAAGCGCGAAAGCUAGGGUAGCGAACGGGCUUAGAUACCCCGGUAGUC
This 462-nucleotide ribosomal RNA is filed under the name uncultured Planctomycetaceae bacterium. Its description in RNAcentral is "bacterial SSU rRNA". It matches the Rfam family "Bacterial small subunit ribosomal RNA", at positions 338 to 795 of the family's 1533-position model. Lineage: Bacteria; Pseudomonadati; Planctomycetota; Planctomycetia; Planctomycetales; Planctomycetaceae. The record is from RNAcentral.